UAGCCCAUAUGCUCAUUUGCGAACAACUUCAGGCUGGACAUUUAGAACCUACUCUUAGUCCUUGGAAUAUUCCCAUUUUUGUAAUUAAGAAAAAUUGUGGUAAAUGGAGGUUGUUAUAAGAUCUCAGGGCAAUUAAUCAUGUUAUGGAGCCCAUGGGAGCUUCACAACCAGAGCUUCCUUCUCCUAUAGCCAUUCCUUUGGAUUAUCAUCUAAUGGUGAUAAAUUUAAAGGAUUGUUUCUUCACUAUACCUUUGCAUCCAGAUGACUGUAAAAAAAAGUUGCCUUCAA
Molecule: non-coding RNA, 288 nt
Filed under: Marmota monax (woodchuck)
Lineage: Eukaryota; Metazoa; Chordata; Mammalia; Rodentia; Sciuridae
Source: RNAcentral